UUGGAGGGCAAGUCUGGUGCCAGCAGCCGCGGUAAUUCCAGCUCCAAUAGCGUAUAUUAAAGUUGUUGCAGUUAAAAAGCUCGUAGUUGAAUUUUAGGCCUGGCCGGGCGGUCCGUCUUUGGCGAGUACUGUCUGUUGUUGGGUCUUCCUUCUGGUGAACCAGUAUGUCCUUUAUUGGGUGUGUUGGGGAGCCAGGACCAUUACCUUGAAAAAAUUAGAGUGUUUAAAGCGGGCUAUUGCUUGAAUAGAUUAGCAUGGAAUAAUAGAAUAGGACGUUGUGGUUCUAUUUUGUUGGUUCCUAGGACCACCGUAAUGAUUAAUAGGGAUAGUUGGGGGCAUUAGUAUUCAAUUGUCAGAGGUGAGAUUCUUGGAUUUAUUGAAGACUAACUAUUGCGAAAGCAUUUGCCAAGGAUGUUUUCAUUAAUCAAGAACGAAAGUUAGGGGAUCGAAGACGAUCAGAUACCGUCGUAGUCUUAACCAUAAACUAUGCCGACUAGGAAUCGGGCGUCGUUAUUUUAAUGACUCGCUCGGCGCCUUACGGGAAAC
This 546-nucleotide ribosomal RNA is filed under the name uncultured Ambispora. Its description in RNAcentral is "SSU rRNA". It matches the Rfam family "Eukaryotic small subunit ribosomal RNA", at positions 548 to 1098 of the family's 1831-position model. The record is from RNAcentral. Lineage: Eukaryota; Fungi; Glomeromycota; Glomeromycetes; Archaeosporales; Ambisporaceae.